GCGCGGGUGGCGAAAUGGCAGACGCACUACCUUGAGGUGGUAGCGCCCGUAAGGGUAUGGAGGUUCAAGUCCUCUCCCGCGCACCA
RNAcentral lists this transfer RNA (86 nucleotides) under Candidatus Altimarinota bacterium. Its description in RNAcentral is "tRNA-Leu". It matches the Rfam family "tRNA". Rfam says of the family: Transfer RNA (tRNA) molecules are approximately 80 nucleotides in length. Their secondary structure includes four short double-helical elements and three loops (D, anti-codon, and T loops). The record is from RNAcentral. Lineage: Bacteria; Candidatus Altimarinota.